GAUCCUGGCUCAGGACGAACGCUGGCGGCGCGCCUAACACAUGCAAGUCGAACGAGCGAGAGAGAGCUUGCUUUCUCGAGCGAGUGGCGAACGGGUGAGUAACGCGUGAGGAACCUGCCUCAAAGAGGGGGACAACAGUUGGAAACGACUGCUAAUACCGCAUAAGCCCACGACCCGGCAUCGGGAAGAGGGAAAAGGAGCAAUCCGCUUUGAGAUGGCCUCGCGUCCGAUUAGCUAGUUGUG
Molecule: ribosomal RNA, 243 nt
Filed under: uncultured bacterium
Lineage: Bacteria
Description: partial 16S ribosomal RNA
Rfam family: Bacterial small subunit ribosomal RNA
Source: RNAcentral